UGGAGAGGAAGUCUCUGGAGGCCUCUGGCUGAGCUCCCAUCUUCAGGAGCUAGUCAGUGCGCUGAGUCAGGGACCCUCCCAACCUCUCACUACCCCCAACCCCCCGGCACCUGGACUCCCUCCCUCUCCCAGAAUGACUGAAUUCAGCCAGCCUGAGAAAUGCAAGUGGGAGAGACCCCCAAAGGAGUCUGCCAGGACACACCCAGACAGCAUGUUAAAGCCAUUCAUCACGGAGCACACCCAAGCCCUUGUCUUGUUUUCUGAAUAACCGGGUACUGCCUGAUCUGGAAGUUGGGUGGUGCACAGGUGUCCAGACCAAAUGUCCAUCGCCUUGCAGUUUGGCCUUAAAAUCCUCCUUACGUCACCCGGAUGGACAUGCAGGCUGCCUCAAGCUGUAAGAAAAAAAAACGAGGGUUAACAUAAAGAUGUCAAAGAGACUCUGGACUCAAAAGCAAAUAAAAACAGAUGAAUCUGGAAAUUGCUCUUGGGAUGAGGCCAGUAACAUCCGGCUGGAGCCUAAUGUUUUGGGUAUGGCAGCUUCUCAAUCACUUAGCAAACAGGUUCUCAGAGGCAGGCACU
This is a long non-coding RNA of Mustela erminea (ermine), 579 nucleotides long. RefSeq lists it as uncharacterized. The transcript has 3 exons. NCBI's taxonomy places the organism in Eukaryota, Metazoa, Chordata, Mammalia, Carnivora, Mustelidae. The record is from RefSeq and is a predicted model, not a curated record.